RNAcentral lists this ribosomal RNA (492 nucleotides) under uncultured bacterium. RNAcentral's name for it is "partial 16S ribosomal RNA". It matches the Rfam family "Bacterial small subunit ribosomal RNA", at positions 29 to 507 of the family's 1533-position model. The record is from RNAcentral.
AGUGAACGCUGGCGGUAGGCCUAACACAUGCAAGUCGAACGGCAGCACAGUAAGAGCUUGCUCUUACGGGUGGCGAGUGGCGGACGGGUGAGGAAUACAUCGGAAUCUACUUUUUCGUGGGGGAUAACGUAGGGAAACUUACGCUAAUACCGCAUACGACCUACGGGUGAAAGCAGGGGAUCUUCGGACCUUGCGCGAUUGAAUGAGCCGAUGUCGGAUUAGCUAGUUGGCGGGGUAAAGGCCCACCAAGGCGACGAUCCGUAGCUGGUCUGAGAGGAUGAUCAGCCACCCUGGAACUGGGACACGGUCCAGACUCCUACGGGAGGCAGCAGUGGGGAAUAUUGGACAAUGGGCGCAAGCCUGAUCCAGCCAUACCGCGUGGGUGAAGAAGGCCUUCGGGUUGUAAAGCCCUUUUGUUGGGAAAGAAAAGCAGCAGGUUAAUACCACGCUGUUCUGACGGUACCCAAAGAAUAAGCACCGGCUAACUUCGUG